Molecule: ribosomal RNA, 499 nt
Filed under: uncultured bacterium
Lineage: Bacteria
Description: partial 16S ribosomal RNA
Rfam family: Bacterial small subunit ribosomal RNA
Source: RNAcentral
GACGAACGCUGGCGGCGUGCCUAAUACAUGCAAGUCGAGCGAAGUUUUUCUGGUGCUUGCACCGGAAAAACUUAGCGGCGAACGGGUGAGUAACACGUAAAGAACCUGCCUCAUAGACUGGGACAACUAUUGGAAACGAUAGCUAAUACCGGAUAAUAGCAUUAACUGCAUGGUUGAUGUUUAAAAGUUGGUUUUGCUAACACUAUGAGAUGGCUUUGCGGUGCAUUAGCUAGUUGGUGGGGUAAAGGCCUACCAAGGCGACGAUGCAUAGCCGACCUGAGAGGAGGAGCGGCAACACGGGAACUGAGACACGGUGCAGACUCCUACGGGAGGCAGCAGGAGGGAAGAGUGCGGAAGGGGAGAAAGCCUGACGGAGAAAUGCAGAGGGAGGGAAGAAGGUCUUAGGAGCGUAAAGAUCUGUAAUUAGGGAAGAACAGAAGUGUAAGGAAAAGUGCAGGUCGGGACGGUACCUAAUCAGAAAGCGACGGCUAACUACGUG